RNAcentral lists this unclassified non-coding RNA (220 nucleotides) under Hevea brasiliensis (rubber tree). The record is from RNAcentral. Lineage: Eukaryota; Viridiplantae; Streptophyta; Magnoliopsida; Malpighiales; Euphorbiaceae.
GUAAGGGGUGUCACAUGACAUCUACUUCUUGACUCGACAUCCUUCAUGUGAGUGGAGCCUCGCAGCAUCAUUUUAUGUUUUCCAUCACUACCAUGAGGUAUGCCAUUGUAAAAUCUGAAUGCUUUUCUCGUGCUGCUGGUAGAUUUUCGGACACACAAAUAUUCCCAUCUUCUCUUUAUUCUUUUUCUGACAAUUAAAGCGCUCUGCUAAAUGUUGUCUG